This 486-nucleotide ribosomal RNA is filed under the name uncultured bacterium. RNAcentral describes it as "partial 16S ribosomal RNA". It matches the Rfam family "Bacterial small subunit ribosomal RNA", at positions 30 to 507 of the family's 1533-position model. The record is from RNAcentral.
AUUGAACGCUGGCGGCAUGCCUUACACAUGCAAGUCGAACGGCAGCACGGGUGCUUGCACCUGGUGGCGAGUGGCGAACGGGUGAGUAAUACAUCGGAACAUGUCCUGUAGUGGGGGAUAGCCCGGCGAAAGCCGGAUUAAUACCGCAUACGAUCUACGGAUGAAAGCGGGGGACCUUCGGGCCUCGCGCUAUAGGGUUGGCCGAUGGCUGAUUAGCUAGUUGGUGGGGUAAAGGCCUACCAAGGCGACGAUCAGUAGCUGGUCUGAGAGGAAGACCAGCCACACUGGGACUGAGACACGGCCCAGACUCCUACGGGAGGCAGCAGUGGGGAAUUUUGGACAAUGGGCGAAAGCCUGAUCCAGCAAUGCCGCGUGUGUGAAGAAGGCCUUCGGGUUGUAAAGCACUUUUGUCCGGAAAGAAAUCCUUGGCCCUAAUACGGUCGGGGGAUGACGGUACCGGAAGAAUAAGCACCGGCUAACUACGUG